UUGCAGAGGGCGCUUUGGUGUUGGCAGCGGUCCAAGUUCCUUGGAACAGGACGUCACAGAGGGUGAGAAUCCCGUACGUGGUCGCUAGCCUCCGCCGUGUAAAGCCCCUUCGACGAGUCGAGUUGUUUGGGAAUGCAGCUCUAAAUGGGAGGUAAAUUUCUUCUAAAGCUAAAUACUGGCCAGAGACCGAUAGCGCACAAGUAGAGUGAUCGAAAGAUGAAAAGCACUUUGGAAAGAGAGUCAAAUAGCACGUGAAAUUGUUGAAAGGGAAGCGCUUGCAGCCAGACUUGCCUGUAGUUGCUCAUCCGGGCUUUUGCCCGGUGCACUCUUCUACAGGCAGGCCAGCAUCAGUUUGGGCGGUUGGAUAAAGGUCUCUAUCACGUACCUCUCUUCGGGGAGGCCUUAUAGGGGAGACGUCAUGCAACCAGCCUGGACUGAGGUCCGCGCAUUUGCUAGGAUGCUGGCGUAAUGGCUGUAAGCGGCCCGUCUUGAAACACGGACCAAGGAGUCUAACAUCUAUGCGAGUGUUUGGGUGUCAAGCCCGAGCGCGUAAUGAAAGUGAACGGAGGUGGGAACCCUUUGGGUGCACCAUCGACCGAUCCUGAUGUCUUCGGAAGGAUUUGAGUAAGAGCAUGGCUGUUGGGACCCGAAAGAUGGUGAACUAUGCUUGAAUAGGGU
This 678-nucleotide ribosomal RNA is filed under the name Sphaerellopsis melampsorinearum. Its description in RNAcentral is "Sphaerellopsis sp. PAGZ-2023a partial large subunit ribosomal RNA". It matches the Rfam family "Eukaryotic large subunit ribosomal RNA", at positions 150 to 847 of the family's 3401-position model. The record is from RNAcentral. Lineage: Eukaryota; Fungi; Ascomycota; Dothideomycetes; Pleosporales; Leptosphaeriaceae.